Molecule: long non-coding RNA, 207 nt
Filed under: Vigna radiata
Lineage: Eukaryota; Viridiplantae; Streptophyta; Magnoliopsida; Fabales; Fabaceae
Description: long non-coding RNA (VRAD_LNC010859)
Source: RNAcentral
UUUAAUUACUAAUUAAAAAAAUAUAAUUAAUGUUGUGAAUAUUACUAUCCCAAAAUUCUUUAAAAUAUGUUAAAUAUCAUAAUUAAAAUUUACUUCUAGUUACAAAAAACAAAGCUUUUCGAUUAAGUGUUUAAUUUAUAUUAGCAAAAAACCGAAAAGGUAUUAAAAACUAAACCGAAAUUAUUUAAUAAAAUCAGUCAAAAGAUG